Molecule: long non-coding RNA, 1392 nt
Filed under: Salvia miltiorrhiza (redroot sage)
Lineage: Eukaryota; Viridiplantae; Streptophyta; Magnoliopsida; Lamiales; Lamiaceae
Description: long non-coding RNA (SMIL_LNC008037)
Source: RNAcentral
UUGCUACCAUCUGCAUCACAGCUUAACCUGCAUAUUUAGAAACAUACGCAGGGCUGAGUACCAAAAAGCACUCAGUGGUCAUGCCGAAAUAACUUUGAAGCUUGCUCUUAGAGCUAUAUAUUGAACUUGUCAUCUCAAACAUCACAUAGGAGUUUUAUUUAAAUAACCUGUGUAUGCAAAACUGUAAAACUUCUCUAUAAUCAUCAUAACAUCAUAUACGUCUGUAGACAAUUAACAUGUAUGUACCAUAUCUACGCAUCAUAUAACUCUGAGUGUUGAGAAGUAGGCCUCCUUCUCAAACACGAUGACAAACUAACUCAAAGGUUAACUGUCAACUAUGUGUACACAAAUCCUGACUCGCUCAGGACCCGAAUUCGUUCUUCUAUGUAGAUGGUAUCAUACAAAUCUCAAAUAUUGGCAAGUCAAUAAUUGGAAAAUAAAUGCAUGCACUCAAACUUUAUAUGAUAAAGUAUGCAUCUUUACUUCUUGAGUUAGUAAGCCCACCUGAUACGCUUAAUGAAAUAGAAGUAUUUGCUUGUUCAUUCUACACUGCCACUCGAACCUUCAUUAUAAUGAGGUUCCCAGGUAAGAUUGGAUAAUAAGUAAGUAAAUAGAAAGUAAAUCUUGAAUGAAACUUCUAUCACUUGAAAGUUGCAUCCUCUAAUCUGAGUAUUCUACUUAUAUGGACUUAACUAACUAAAAGCAAACAAUAACAUCAUAUCUCUUGGGAUAUCUCAAGUUGAAAAAGUAUAAGAGUAAACUAAUCCAUUCUAUAUAGAUUAGCUUACAAUUAAUAACUAAAACAUCAAUUCAAGAAUUGACCAAUGACUUAAGCAUAGUUUUACUCAACUAUCCCAAGUAAGUAACUUCAAAUAUGUAAUCAUAUAUGAAUCUCAACUUUGAAAUAUCAUAUAAAAUCAACCUCUUUAAAGAAAAAUACAAGCUUUACAUUUUUAGAAAUCACUCAAAGUCUAUUUUUAUUAGAAAGUUACAAAAAUACAAUACAUCAAGUGUAUGAGAAGUUAUAUCACAAAAGGCAGAAUCUGCCACUGAACUUCGCUGCUUCGCGCAGUACAUUUCAGAAACUCGUUUGACACAUCUAAUGGUCUCGGAUUAGCUGAAAUUUUGCAGAAACGUACUACUCAUGAUGAAGUUAUUACAGUAAAAAUUUCAAGUUAUUUGGACUAUGGGAACAUCAUCAAAAUCAUCCCGCAAGACACUGUUCUGUCAAGCUAAAAAUUGACAGCAAUGCAUCCUUUGUUUCAAUUCAACAUAUAACUCAUACUUUGGCCAAAUAAAAAGUGUAGAGACUCAAAUACAUGAUUAUAAUACAUACUAGGAUGCUUUAACUUCAAACUUAACUCAUGUUUAACACAUCAACAAAGCCAACAA